RNAcentral lists this transfer RNA (73 nucleotides) under Ailuropoda melanoleuca (giant panda). It matches the Rfam family "tRNA". From Rfam's summary of the family: Transfer RNA (tRNA) molecules are approximately 80 nucleotides in length. Their secondary structure includes four short double-helical elements and three loops (D, anti-codon, and T loops). The record is from Rfam by way of RNAcentral. Lineage: Eukaryota; Metazoa; Chordata; Mammalia; Carnivora; Ursidae.
ACCUGGAUGGCUCAGUCAGUGGAGCAUGUGACUCUUGAUCACUGGGUUGUGAGUUCAACCCCCACACUGGGCA